This 253-nucleotide ribosomal RNA is filed under the name uncultured bacterium. Its description in RNAcentral is "partial 16S ribosomal RNA". It matches the Rfam family "Bacterial small subunit ribosomal RNA", at positions 524 to 776 of the family's 1533-position model. The record is from RNAcentral.
UACGUAGGGUGCGAGCGUUGUCCGGAAUUAUUGGGCGUAAAGGGCUCGUAGGCGGUUUGUCGCGUCGGGAGUGAAAACUCAGGGCUUAACCCUGAGCCUGCUUCCGAUACGGGCAGACUAGAGGUAUGCAGAGGAGAACGGAAUUCCUGGUGUAGCGGUGAAAUGCGCAGAUAUCAGGAGGAACACCGGUGGCGAAGGCGGUUCUCUGGGCAUUACCUGACGCUGAGGAGCGAAAGUGUGGGGAGCGAACAGG